RNAcentral lists this ribosomal RNA (273 nucleotides) under uncultured Eubacteriales bacterium. Its description in RNAcentral is "uncultured Clostridiales bacterium partial 16S ribosomal RNA". It matches the Rfam family "Bacterial small subunit ribosomal RNA", at positions 69 to 339 of the family's 1533-position model. Lineage: Bacteria; Bacillati; Bacillota; Clostridia; Eubacteriales. The record is from RNAcentral.
AUUCUUCGGAUGAUUUCCUAUUUGACUGAGCGGCGGACGGGUGAGUAACGCGUGGGUAACCUGCCUCAUACAGGGGGAUAACAGUUAGAAAUGACUGCUAAUACCGCAUAAGACCACAGCACCGCAUGGUGCAGUGUGAAAAACUCCGGUGGUAUAAGAUGGACCCGCGUUGGAUUAGCUAGUUGGUGAGGUAACGGCCCACCAAGGCGACGAUCCAUAGCCGACCUGAGAGGGUGACCGGCCACAUUGGAACUGAGAGACGGUCCAGACUCC